GGGACACGUGGUAUCCUGUCUGAAUAUGGGGGGACCAUCCUCCAAGGCUAAAUACUCCUGACUGACCGAUAGUGAACCAGUACCGUGAGGGAAAGGCGAAAAGAACCCCGGCGAGGGGAGUGAAAAAGAACCUGAAACCGUGUACGUACAAGCAGUGGGAGCACGCUUAGGCGUGUGACUGCGUACCUUUUGUAUAAUGGGUCAGCGACUUAUAUUCUGUAGCAAGGUUAACCGAAUAGGGGAGCCGAAGGGAAACCGAGUCUUAACUGGGCGUUAAGUUGCAGGGUAUAGACCCGAAACCCGGUGAUCUAGCCAUGGGCAGGUUGAAGGUUGGGUAACACUAACUGGAGGACCGAACCGACUAAUGUUGAAAAAUUAGCGGAUGACUUGUGGCUGGGGGUGAAAGGCCAAUCAAACCGGGAGAUAGCUGGUUCUCCCCGAAAGCUAUUUAGGUAGCGCCUCGUGAAUUCAUCUCCGGGGGUAGAGCACUGUUUCGGCAAGGGGGUCAUCCCGACUUACCAACCCGAUGCAAACUGCGAAUACCGGAGAAUGUUAUCACGGGAGACACACGGCGGGUGCUAACGUCCGUCGUGAAGAGGGAAACAACCCAGAC
Molecule: ribosomal RNA, 613 nt
Filed under: Escherichia coli
Lineage: Bacteria; Pseudomonadati; Pseudomonadota; Gammaproteobacteria; Enterobacterales; Enterobacteriaceae
Description: partial 23S ribosomal RNA
Rfam family: Bacterial large subunit ribosomal RNA
Source: RNAcentral